UGAGGAAUAUUGGACAAUGGGCGCAAGCCUGAUCCAGCCAUGCCGCGUGCAGGAAGAAGCAUCUAUGGUGUGUAAACUGCUUUUGUACGGGAAGAAACACUCCUACGUGUAGGAGCUUGACGGUCCGUAAGAAUAAGGAUCGGCUAACUCCGUGCCAGCAGCCGCGGUAAUACGGAGGAUCCAAGCGUUAUCCGGAAUCAUUGGGUUUAAAGGGUCCGUAGGCGGUUUAAUAAGUCAGUGGUGAAAGCCCAUCGCUCAACGAUGGAACGGCCAUUGAUACUGUUAGACUUGAAUUACAAGGAAGUAACUAGAAUAUGUAGUGCAGCGGUGAAAUGCUUAGAUAUUACAUGGAAUACCAAUUGCGAAGGCAGGUUACUACUUGUGGAUUGACGCUGAUGGACGAAAGCGUGGGGAGCGAACA
This 421-nucleotide ribosomal RNA is filed under the name uncultured bacterium. RNAcentral's name for it is "bacterial SSU rRNA". It matches the Rfam family "Bacterial small subunit ribosomal RNA", at positions 355 to 774 of the family's 1533-position model. The record is from RNAcentral.